UUUGCAUUGGAUUGAGAACAACGUACAAACCUUAUCGAUAAACAAUUGGAGGGCAAGUCUGGUGCCAGCAGCCGCGGUAAUUCCAGCUCCAAUAGCGUAUAUUAACGUUGUUGCAGUUAAAAAGCUCGUAGUUGAAAUGAAGGGUGGUUGUGUAAUGAAUACAUUCGUGUAUUUUGUUAUUCUACUACCCUCCUUCUAAAUUCGAUAUAUGAGUAUUAAUUUACUUGUAUAUGGUUUUAGACCUUUACUGUGAGAAAAUUAGAGUGUUCAAAGCAGGCAUUUGCUUGAAUAUAUUAGCAUGGAAUAAUCAUGUAUGAUUUUCAUGAUGUAUUUGAUUGGUUUGGUUCAUGAGAAUAAGAUUAAAAGGGACAGUUGGGGGUAUUCAUAUUCAAUAGUCAGAGGUGAAAUUCUCGGAUUUAUGGAAGAUGAACAAGUGCGAAAGCAUUUACCAAGGAUGUUUUCAUUAAUCAAGAACGAAAGUUAGGGGAUCGAAGAGGAUUAGAUACCCCG
This 510-nucleotide ribosomal RNA is filed under the name Blastocystis sp. subtype 3. RNAcentral describes it as "SSU rRNA". It matches the Rfam family "Eukaryotic small subunit ribosomal RNA", at positions 503 to 1020 of the family's 1831-position model. Lineage: Eukaryota; Bigyra; Opalinata; Blastocystidae. The record is from RNAcentral.